AGGGAGCUUUAUGGAGGAAAGUCUGAGGAGGCUUCACAAGUUAAUUAACCUUUGAUCUGAAUAUUGAGAAGUGAGAUGGGCACCUAACCAGUUAGAAAAGGGGAGAAGAAGUAGACAAGUGACAGGAAUGACAUUAAACUUCAUUUUCUAUGAUGAAAUGACAAACCCAUGUGGAAUUGGAGGAUGGUUUUGAGCACAGUCAGUGUGGCUGAAAAACCUGGCCUCUGGAGCCGGAAUGC
Molecule: long non-coding RNA, 239 nt
Filed under: Pan troglodytes (chimpanzee)
Lineage: Eukaryota; Metazoa; Chordata; Mammalia; Primates; Hominidae
Description: long non-coding RNA NONPTRT004608
Source: RNAcentral